GAUGAAGAACGCAGCGAAAUGCGAUAAGUAAUGUGAAUUGCAGAAUUCAGUGAAUCAUCGAAUCUUUGAACGCACAUUGCGCCCGCCAGUAUUCUGGCGGGCAUGCCUGUUCGAGCGUCAUUACAACCCUCAGGCCCCCGGGCCUGGCGUUGGGGAUCGGCGGAGCCCCCCGUGGGCACACGCCGUCCCCCAAAUGCAGUGGCGGUCCCGCCGCAGCUUCCAUCGCGUAGUAGCUAACACCUCGCGACUGGAGAGCGGCGCGGCCACGCCGUAAAACACCAACUCUUCUGAAGUUGACCUCGAAUCAGGUAGGAAUACCCGCUGAACUUAAGCAUAUCAAUAAGCGGAGGA
This 351-nucleotide unclassified non-coding RNA is filed under the name soil metagenome. Its description in RNAcentral is "partial contains 5.8S ribosomal RNA, internal transcribed spacer 2, and large subunit ribosomal RNA". The stretch from base 1 to 120 matches the Rfam family "5.8S ribosomal RNA", at positions 35 to 154 of the family's 154-position model. The record is from RNAcentral.